AGUGGCGGACGGGUGAGUAACGCGUGGGUAACCUGCCUCACACAGGGGGAUAACAGUUAGAAAUGACUGCUAAUACCGCAUAAGACCACGGUACCGCAUGGUACAGUGGUAAAAACUCCGGUGGUAUGAGAUGGACCCGCGUCUGAUUAGGUAGUUGGUGGGGUAACGGCCUACCAAGCCGACGAUCAGUAGCCGACCUGAGAGGGUGACCGGCCACAUUGGGACUGAGACACGGCCCAG
RNAcentral lists this ribosomal RNA (240 nucleotides) under uncultured bacterium. RNAcentral's name for it is "partial 16S ribosomal RNA". It matches the Rfam family "Bacterial small subunit ribosomal RNA", at positions 94 to 334 of the family's 1533-position model. The record is from RNAcentral.